UACGAAGGGGGCUAGCGUUGCUCGGAAUUACUGGGCGUAAAGGGAGCGUAGGCGGACAUUUAAGUCAGGGGUGAAAUCCCGAGGCUCAACCUCGGAACUGCCUUUGAUACUGGAUGUCUUGAGUGUGAGAGAGGUGAGUGGAACUCCGAGUGUAGAGGUGAAAUUCGUAGAUAUUCGGAAGAACACCAGUGGCGAAGGCGACUCACUGGCUCAUUACUGACGCUGAGGCUCGAAAGCGUGGGGAGCAAACAGGAUUAGAUACCCCAGUAGUCC
This 273-nucleotide ribosomal RNA is filed under the name uncultured bacterium. RNAcentral's name for it is "partial 16S ribosomal RNA". It matches the Rfam family "Bacterial small subunit ribosomal RNA", at positions 524 to 796 of the family's 1533-position model. The record is from RNAcentral.